AUGCUGUGAUGACCAUCUUAGGACACCUUUGGAGGGUAUACUCCUGUGAAACUAAAUAUAUUUCUGAGCAUG
Molecule: small nucleolar RNA, 72 nt
Organism: Erpetoichthys calabaricus (reedfish)
Lineage: Eukaryota; Metazoa; Chordata; Cladistia; Polypteriformes; Polypteridae
Gene: SNORD58
Rfam family: Small nucleolar RNA SNORD58
About the family: snoRNA U58 is found in introns 1, 3 and 6 of the ribosomal protein RPL17 gene in humans.
Source: Ensembl